This 525-nucleotide ribosomal RNA is filed under the name Salmonella enterica. Its description in RNAcentral is "partial 23S ribosomal RNA". It matches the Rfam family "Bacterial large subunit ribosomal RNA", at positions 1273 to 1791 of the family's 2925-position model. RNAcentral also lists the same sequence under 1 other name. Lineage: Bacteria; Pseudomonadati; Pseudomonadota; Gammaproteobacteria; Enterobacterales; Enterobacteriaceae. The record is from RNAcentral.
CUGGAGGUAUCAGAAGUGCGAAUGCUGACAUAAGUAACGAUAAAGCGGGUGAAAAGCCCGCUCGCCGGAAGACCAAGGGUUCCUGUCCAACGUUAAUCGGGGCAGGGUGAGUCGACCCCUAAGGCGAGGCCGAAAGGCGUAGUCGAUGGGAAACGGGUUAAUAUUCCCGUACUUGGUGUUACUGCGAAGGGGGGACGGAGAAGGCUAUGUUGGCCGGGCGACGGUUGUCCCGGUUUAAGCGUGUAGGUGUGUGUUCCAGGUAAAUCCGGUUCACUUUAACACUGAGGCGUGAUGACGAGGCACUACGGUGCUGAAGCAACAAAUGCCCUGCUUCCAGGAAAAGCCUCUAAGCAUCAGGUAACAUCAAAUCGUACCCCAAACCGACACAGGUGGUCAGGUAGAGAAUACCAAGGCGCUUGAGAGAACUCGGGUGAAGGAACUAGGCAAAAUGGUGCCGUAACUUCGGGAGAAGGCACGCUGACACGUAGGUGAAGUGAUUUACUCACGGAGCUGAAGUCAGUCGAA